CACAGCUGCUCCUACUACAACUGCUGCUCCCACCACAUUCACAGGUGCUCCCACCACAUUUACAGCAGUGCAGACCACAUUCACAGCUGCUCCCACAAUAACCACAGCUGCUCCCACUUUUCCAGCAACAACAUUUCCAACCACAGAGACCAGUGCUACAACUAUUAAUACCCCCACAUCGCCUCACACUUCCAGUACUACAUUUUCUCCAACUUCAAGGGUUUGCACAUGUAGACUGAUGUCUGUUUCAUGUGUGAGUAGAAUAAGGUCUUCCUCAUUUAACUGGCAAGACUCAAUAACAAGAGUUGUGACUUUCACAUCUAUGAACAACACCUUAACAAGGGAUUUCCUGAAUUCAUCGUCUGCAUCCUUUGCUAAUCGGUCUUCACUGAUGAAGAGACAGCUUGAACCCUUCUUCCAGAAAAGGUUUUCUUCCUUCAGUUCCCUGGAGGUGGCUACAAUAAGAGAGAGAUCCGUCAUACACAUCAUGAACCUUACGUUUAGAACCACAUCUGCUCCUGAUGACGACGAGAUAAGGGAUAUUCUGAUCGAGGCAGCUUCAUCGGUUGUCGACUUCAACAUCGACACAAAAUCGAUAAGCAUUCGUG
This is a long non-coding RNA of Fundulus heteroclitus (mummichog), 608 nucleotides long. RefSeq lists it as uncharacterized. The record is from RefSeq and is a predicted model, not a curated record. The transcript is spliced from 3 exons. Lineage: Eukaryota; Metazoa; Chordata; Actinopteri; Cyprinodontiformes; Fundulidae.